AUCCAGCUGACGAGUCCCAAAUAGGACGCAACGCGCUCCCUAGAU
Non-coding RNA from Schistosoma rodhaini, 45 nucleotides. Lineage: Eukaryota; Metazoa; Platyhelminthes; Trematoda; Strigeidida; Schistosomatidae. The record is from Rfam.